ACUUCCGGUUUGAGCGCUGAGGAGACUGCUGUUGGAGCGCUCCGAGCCCGGCCGGAACCAUGGUGAGGAGCGGGCGGGCCGCGGGCGCGCAGGGCGCAGGCCCCGCGGGGUGUCACGGUGCUGCCGGAGAGCAGAGGUGGCUGCAGGGAGCGGAGCCGCCGCAUGCCCCGGGGGGGUGUUUGGGGUGUUCCGUGCGUGCUGAGCCGCUGCUUUGCUUCCCAGCCCCGCAAGAUUGAGGAGAUCAAGGACUUCCUGCUCACAGCCAGGAGGAAGGACGCCAAGUGUGAGUGUGGGGCUGCUGGAGCCCCCCGGGGGGGACCCGGUGUCCCGGCGGAGCUCCUGGGGCUGGGGGCGCUGCGGGACGCCCGGUGCCGGGUGCAGUGACGGUGGUUUGAAGCGGUUUGCUCGGUGUUGGCGUGUGCCUGAGGCCGCGCUGGGCAGGGGGAUGCUGUGGGGCAGGACUCGGGUUCUCCAGGCCUGGCUGAUCACCCCGGGGGGGUUCAGCCAAGCCCCAGCUUGGAAGCUGGUUUCCAGCCGCUCCAUCCCUGGCUCGCUGCAGCCUUCGCAGCCCGCAGGGUGCCAGGCGCUCGCGGCUCUGCCACAGCGACAAGGGGAUCCUGCUCGAACCUGGCCUUCCUUGUCUUGCACGUACAGAGGUGGUGAUGGCUGAAGCUCUGACACUGCCUCAGCUCAGCACUUAACCGCGUGUGACGAGGUUUCCCUCUUCUCUCGCCUGUUUGGAUCCGACUGGCACACGGAAGAGUCACCUUCAUGCUUAAAUCCUUUUGUUAACCCACCAACGUGGCUGAGAGGAGAGUUCCACACUGAAACGCUGAGGGAGCUGCUGGCAGCCCCUCACAGAGCGUUCCUGUGCUGUUCCACUUGGAUUUCCCAGCGGCUCCAGCCGAGUGGCUCGGAUAAACUGGCUUUUGGGGAGCUCUGUGCGUGGAGCUGGGGAGCUGCAGUGUGGAAACGGGCAAUGGAGUCAGGGUUUCAUGUUGGUGGUUGUAAAACCAGCCUCAAAAUGAAGCCGUCGGCGCCGAGGAGGCUGGGGCUGAGCCCUUGGCUGUUCACCUCCUUGUUGGUGCAGCAAAACCCACUUAAUUUGGGGGUUUCACAGUGCAGGGGGCCAGGGGGAGCUGGGCUGGGGUGGCUCCGUCCUGCUGAGCUCUUCUGACCCUGCAGCCGUCAAGAUCAAGAAGAACAAGGACAACGUGAAGUUCAAGGUGCGCUGCAGCCGGUAUCUCUACACCCUGGUCAUCACCGACAAGGAGAAGGCCGAGAAGCUGAAGCAGUCGCUGCCGCCAGGUUUGGCCGUUAAGGAGCUGAAAUGAGCCGAGAAAUGGGACGUUUCAGUGUUUGUUACAAUAAAUAAACCCGACUGUUCC
Molecule: long non-coding RNA, 1388 nt
Filed under: Strigops habroptila (Kakapo)
Lineage: Eukaryota; Metazoa; Chordata; Aves; Psittaciformes; Psittacidae
Description: lncRNA (ENSSHBG00005014795.1)
Source: RNAcentral